Molecule: ribosomal RNA, 2003 nt
Filed under: Salmonella enterica subsp. enterica serovar Corvallis
Lineage: Bacteria; Pseudomonadati; Pseudomonadota; Gammaproteobacteria; Enterobacterales; Enterobacteriaceae
Description: partial 23S ribosomal RNA
Rfam family: Bacterial large subunit ribosomal RNA
Source: RNAcentral
GGGUAGAGCACUGUUUCGGCUAGGGGGCCAUCCCGGCUUACCAACCCGAUGCAAACUGCGAAUACCGGAGAAUGUUAUCACGGGAGACACACGGCGGGUGCUAACGUCCGUCGUGAAGAGGGAAACAACCCAGACCGCCAGCUAAGGUCCCAAAGUCAUGGUUAAGUGGGAAACGAUGUGGGAAGGCCCAGACAGCCAGGAUGUUGGCUUAGAAGCAGCCAUCAUUUAAAGAAAGCGUAAUAGCUCACUGGUCGAGUCGGCCUGCGCGGAAGAUGUAACGGGGCUAAACCAUGCACCGAAGCUGCGGCAGCGAACGUAUCACUUAAAGCGAUUCAGCGGGUUACGAUUGACGGAGCGAAGCGACGUCAAAGCGUAUACAAAGUCGAGUCGGUUUAAGGAUACGUUCGUUGGGUAGGGGAGCGUUCUGUAAGCCUGUGAAGGUGGCCUGUGAGGGUUGCUGGAGGUAUCAGAAGUGCGAAUGCUGACAUAAGUAACGAUAAAGCGGGUGAAAAGCCCGCUCGCCGGAAGACCAAGGGUUCCUGUCCAACGUUAAUCGGGGCAGGGUGAGUCGACCCCUAAGGCGAGGCCGAAAGGCGUAGUCGAUGGGAAACGGGUUAAUAUUCCCGUACUUGGUGUUACUGCGAAGGGGGGACGGAGAAGGCUAUGUUGGCCGGGCGACGGUUGUCCCGGUUUAAGCGUGUAGGUGUGUGUUCCAGGUAAAUCCGGUUCACUUUAACACUGAGGCGUGACGACGAGGCACUACGGUGCUGAAGCAACAAAUGCCCUGCUUCCAGGAAAAGCCUCUAAGCAUCAGGUAACAUCAAAUCGUACCCCAAACCGACACAGGUGGUCAGGUAGAGAAUACCAAGGCGCUUGAGAGAACUCGGGUGAAGGAACUAGGCAAAAUGGUGCCGUAACUUCGGGAGAAGGCACGCUGACACGUAGGUGAAGUGAUUUACUCACGGAGCUGAAGUCAGUCGAAGAUACCAGCUGGCUGCAACUGUUUAUUAAAAACACAGCACUGUGCAAACACGAAAGUGGACGUAUACGGUGUGACGCCUGCCCGGUGCCGGAAGGUUAAUUGAUGGGGUCAGCGCAAGCGAAGCUCCUGAUCGAAGCCCCGGUAAACGGCGGCCGUAACUAUAACGGUCCUAAGGUAGCGAAAUUCCUUGUCGGGUAAGUUCCGACCUGCACGAAUGGCGUAAUGAUGGCCAGGCUGUCUCCACCCGAGACUCAGUGAAAUUGAACUCGCUGUGAAGAUGCAGUGUACCCGCGGCAAGACGGAAAGACCCCGUGAACCUUUACUAUAGCUUGACACUGAACAUUGAGCCUUGAUGUGUAGGAUAGGUGGGAGGCUUUGAAGUGUGGACGCCAGUCUGCAUGGAGCCGACCUUGAAAUACCACCCUUUAAUGUUUGAUGUUCUAACGUGGACCCGUAAUCCGGGUUGCGGACAGUGUCUGGUGGGUAGUUUGACUGGGGCGGUCUCCUCCUAAAGAGUAACGGAGGAGCACGAAGGUUGGCUAAUCCUGGUCGGACAUCAGGAGGUUAGUGCAAUGGCAUAAGCCAGCUUGACUGCGAGCGUGACGGCGCGAGCAGGUGCGAAAGCAGGUCAUAGUGAUCCGGUGGUUCUGAAUGGAAGGGCCAUCGCUCAACGGAUAAAAGGUACUCCGGGGAUAACAGGCUGAUACCGCCCAAGAGUUCAUAUCGACGGCGGUGUUUGGCACCUCGAUGUCGGCUCAUCACAUCCUGGGGCUGAAGUAGGUCCCAAGGGUAUGGCUGUUCGCCAUUUAAAGUGGUACGCGAGCUGGGUUUAGAACGUCGUGAGACAGUUCGGUCCCUAUCUGCCGUGGGCGCUGGAGAACUGAGGGGGGCUGCUCCUAGUACGAGAGGACCGGAGUGGACGCAUCACUGGUGUUCGGGUUGUCAUGCCAAUGGCACUGCCCGGUAGCUAAAUGCGGAAGAGAUAAGUGCUGAAAGCAUCUAAGCACGAAACUUGCCCCGA